This is a ribosomal RNA of Capra hircus (goat), 118 nucleotides long. Lineage: Eukaryota; Metazoa; Chordata; Mammalia; Artiodactyla; Bovidae. The record is from Ensembl.
AGCGAUGGCAAUACCACCCUGAAUGCAUCUGAUCUCAUCUGAUCUUGGAAGCUAAGCAAGGUCGGCCUGACUAGGACUUGGAUGGAAGACUGCCUGGGAAUGUCGAGUGCUGUAGGCU